AGGAGUAAUAUUCUAACGUUGAGC
This 24-nucleotide microRNA is filed under the name Brugia malayi. RNAcentral describes it as "bma-miR-5839-5p". The record is from miRBase by way of RNAcentral. Lineage: Eukaryota; Metazoa; Nematoda; Chromadorea; Rhabditida; Onchocercidae.